GACGAACGCUGGCGGCGUGCUUAACACAUGCAAGUCGAACGAAGAGCGAUGGAAGCUUGCUUCUAUCAAUCUUAGUGGCGAACGGGUGAGUAACGCGUAAUCAACCUGCCCUUCAGAGGGGGACAACAGUUGGAAACGACUGCUAAUACCGCAUACGAUCUAACCUCGGCAUCGAGGAUGGAUGAAAGGUGGCCUCUAUUUAUAAGCUAUCACUGAAGGAGGGGAUUGCGUCUGAUUAGCUAGUUGGAGGGGUAACGGCCCACCAAGGCGAUGAUCAGUAGACGGUCUGAGAGGAUGAACGGCCACAUUGGGACUGAGACACGGCCCAGACUCCUACGGGAGGCAGCAGUGGGGAAUCUUCCGCAAUGGACGAAAGUCUGACGGAGCAACGCCGCGUGAGUGAUGACGGCCUUCGGGUUGUAAAGCUCUGUUAAUCGGGACGAAAGGCCUUCUUGCGAAUAGUUAGAAGGAUUGACGGUACCGGAAUAGAAAGCCACGGCUAACUACGUG
RNAcentral lists this ribosomal RNA (510 nucleotides) under uncultured bacterium. Its description in RNAcentral is "partial 16S ribosomal RNA". It matches the Rfam family "Bacterial small subunit ribosomal RNA", at positions 28 to 507 of the family's 1533-position model. The record is from RNAcentral.